Non-coding RNA from Pelobates cultripes (western spadefoot toad), 267 nucleotides. The record is from the annotation of a GenBank genome assembly. NCBI's taxonomy places the organism in Eukaryota, Metazoa, Chordata, Amphibia, Anura, Pelobatidae.
AAAUGUUAUACUAUGUUAAACUUUGUUAUGCCUUUAUGAAUACAUGUUACAUUGCCGUUACCGGGCCCUAGAGUUUACGAGGAAAAUAUAAGGUUAGCUUUCCCAUCAGGGCUCCAGACGGCCUGGCUCACAGGGCACACAUUACUCCCAAAUCAACACACACCUCCGACCUCCCUAGUUAGAGUAGAGGAGGUAGGUGGCAUCACCUCUACAAUGCCCUGUGAGGCCCCUAUGAUACACCCGGUCGGGCGCUCCGGCCACCACCCC